GCGGCUCGUCAGAGGAGGCAAGGGAGGCUCAGCCUCCCCAUAAAUUUUUUACACACUCUAUACUGUUUUGUUUAUCAUGAAUCGCGAAAACAACAAUUACUCUCGCUAUUAUACAACGUGUAAAUUCCAUAUUAUCACUAAUUAUCCAUACGUACGGAGCAUUAGCAUUAGAACGCAUGAUCGCGUCUCAGUUUUAUUACAUAUUAUUGUAGGCAGGACCCUGGGUUAUCCCGAGAUGCACGAACGGAGCCGAGAAGCCCAGCUUUCUCCGUUGCUAAUGCUCCGUGCAGCGCAGCAGGCGUUUAAGGAGACCCGGUCUCCUAACAGUGGCAUCUACGGCGCCAUCACACGCUGCCCGGAGAUAUACCAAGGGAGGCAGUGGGGUGUAUUCUGUAACACUUCCGUUAAAUUUUAGUGGCCUCUAAAAUUUUAGCGCCCGCUAAAAAUAUUUUGGUAUUCUGUAAAUCAUACAUCCGUUAAAAUCAUAACCUAAACCGUUAAAACUCCCUCUAAAUAAAAAUAUUUUAGAGGAUGUCAAAACGUACCCGCUAAAUUUUUAGCAGUCCGUUAAAUGUGGUUUGAUUAUUUUUGUUGGGUUAUGUUUGUAUGAAUAGUACUUUGUUAUUCUUGUAUUAUACUGGAGAUAAAUAUUUAAAAAUGGAAAAUGGCUUUUUAUAAUGUAUUUGGUGAAGAAGUACUUAAUAAAUAAUAAUGAAAGAGCUGAUUUCAGAUUACAACAUAAACACAAAGUAAAUAAUUGACCUGAAAGUAAAUAACUACAAUUACCAUUUCAAAGGAAGUAGGUAAUACCUACCUAAGUACCUAGAAAUGUUAUAGAAAAAGUGUUGGAAGUCAAAGAUGUUUGUCAAAGCAAUUAAAUCCAAUUAAUGCAGGUAAAAUUAUUUAAAGUUAUUGUGGAACAUUACAAAACGUACCAAAUAAUUACAAAGGUAAAGUUUCAGAAGGUUUAUAACCAGAUGCAGAUUAAUAAGAUGACCUUAAUGUUAUUGAAAAUAGACCAUUUGACCAAAAUUAGUGUCGAAGGGGAGAAGAAAAAAUAAGAUAUGCAUUUUUUCAGCAAUAUUUUAAUGUAUAACUUUAUAAAUAAAAAUGUUUAAUUGGAAAA
This is a long non-coding RNA of Diabrotica virgifera virgifera (western corn rootworm), 1126 nucleotides long. RefSeq lists it as uncharacterized. The record is from RefSeq and is a predicted model, not a curated record. NCBI's taxonomy places the organism in Eukaryota, Metazoa, Arthropoda, Insecta, Coleoptera, Chrysomelidae. The transcript is spliced from 2 exons.